CUGUCCAUUGGGGGGAUCAUCAUUCUGAAGGACACCAGUGAAGAUGUGGAGGAGCUGGUCGAGCCAGUGGCAGCCCACGGCCCAAAAAUUGAGGAGGAGGAGCAGGAGCCAGAACCACCAGAACCUUUUGAGUACAUCGAUGAUUAAGACCCAGAGGAUCUUCAGUCAUCCAUCUAUAGAUGAUUGCUCUGUUACUGGAAUCACAUCUAUGAGGAAAUUCAACCCAAGACCUGAAGUUCAAUGCAUGCAACAUCACCUCUGUGCUGACUUAAAGAAGCGAGUCUCUGUGUAUGGGGUUGAAGAAAAGCUAUAUGGCUACUUAGUGUACUCUUUCACAAACCUUGGUUUUCAAAUAAAUAUAUUAAAAAUCUCCCAGUUGGCAAGGGGUUUUUGUCUUGGAGCCUGGGUUUUUUGGAAGAGGGUAACAUCAUCCUUCCUCUACAGCCUGAAACGACCACGCCAAGGGAGCCAAAUUCCUCGUUGCCUGUAGCUUUUAAGUUAACCCCCUUGUAAGAGGGAUGUUAAGCAGGUAAUGUUUAUUAUUAUUACGACUAGUAGUAAUAAUAGUAGUUUUCAAGUGACUAUUAUGUGUAAAGGACUGGGCUAGAUACAAGCUAAUCAGGUUGGACACAGACCCUGUCCUAUACGGGGCUCACAGUCCUAUCCCCCAUUUUACAGAUGAGGUAGCAGGCACUGAGAAGUGAAGUGACUAGCCCAAGGUCUCCCAGCAGUCCAGUGGCGGAGGGGGGAUUAGAACCCAGGCCCUACCGACUCCCAGGCCUGUGCUCUGUCCACUAGGCCUACAUCUCUAGGGUCACAGGCUGAGGGAAGCGGUCAGCCGCAUGAUCGGGGGGCAACUUGCAGUUUUUUCAAACAUCCUGUUGCCACUCUUAGAUAACAGCUGGGUUGGAUUAACCACGGGUCUAACCCAAUUUUGGCAUUAUGUCCUUUUGAUAUGAGUGAGGAGUGUUCUUCUAAGCAAGCUGCCUAGUAAUCAUCUUUCAAAGUAACCCUUUCGUAUUGCUGCUUCCUUCAGCUCUUGUUCAGAGUAAUAUUGAUUGCUAAUUGAAGGCAUCUAUAUUCAGCCAGACCGGAUUUAGGUUAUCGUAAUUGCUAGGGAAGCAGAGCGGCUUAGUGGCUAGAGCAUGGGUCUGCAAGUCAGAGGACCUGGCUUCUAAUCCUAUCCCCGCUCCUUGUCUGCUGUGUGGCCUUGGGCAAGUCAUUUAACUUCUCUGGGCCUCAGUUUCCUCAUCUGAGAAAUGGCAUUUAAUACUUGUUCCCCCUCCUAAUUAGACUGCGAACCCCAUGUGGGACCUGAUUAUCUUGAAUACUUUGAGAUUGAGGUGCAGGUGCAGGAGUGCAGGGCAACCUCGAGUUUGAGCCAUUUAGAGUAUGC
This 1396-nucleotide long non-coding RNA is filed under the name Ornithorhynchus anatinus (platypus). Its description in RNAcentral is "lncRNA (ENSOANG00000038421.1)". Lineage: Eukaryota; Metazoa; Chordata; Mammalia; Monotremata; Ornithorhynchidae. The record is from RNAcentral.